Molecule: long non-coding RNA, 101 nt
Organism: Telopea speciosissima
Lineage: Eukaryota; Viridiplantae; Streptophyta; Magnoliopsida; Proteales; Proteaceae
Exons: 2
Source: RefSeq, a predicted model, not a curated record
UUUGAAUAAAAACUCCACUGAAAGCGGAAAACACAGUAGUUUUCAAAGGUAAGCUAAUCAAAAAGCUUCGUACAAGCGAGCUCGAAAACGAUAAUGGCGAA